This 112-nucleotide non-coding RNA is filed under the name Chlorocebus sabaeus (green monkey). Lineage: Eukaryota; Metazoa; Chordata; Mammalia; Primates; Cercopithecidae. The record is from Rfam by way of RNAcentral.
GCCGGGUGCGGUGGCUCACACCUGUAAUCCCAGCACUUUGGGAGGCCGAGGCAGGCGGAUCUCUAGAGGUCGGGAGUUCAAGCCUGACCAACAUGGAGAAACCCUGCCUCUA